Molecule: ribosomal RNA, 253 nt
Filed under: uncultured bacterium
Lineage: Bacteria
Description: partial 16S ribosomal RNA
Rfam family: Bacterial small subunit ribosomal RNA
Source: RNAcentral
UACGUAGGGCGCAAGCGUUAUCCGGAAUUAUUGGGCGUAAAGAGCUCGUAGGCGGUUUGUCGCGUCUGCCGUGAAAGUCCGGGGCUCAACUCCGGAUCUGCGGUGGGUACGGGCAGACUAGAGUGAUGUAGGGGAGACUGGAAUUCCUGGUGUAGCGGUGAAAUGCGCAGAUAUCAGGAGGAACACCGAUGGCGAAGGCAGGUCUCUGGGCCGAUAUCGACGCUGAGGAGCGAAAGCGUGGGGAGCGAACAGG